This 402-nucleotide ribosomal RNA is filed under the name Paracoccus sp. R-26841. Its description in RNAcentral is "bacterial SSU rRNA". It matches the Rfam family "Bacterial small subunit ribosomal RNA", at positions 10 to 440 of the family's 1533-position model. Lineage: Bacteria; Pseudomonadati; Pseudomonadota; Alphaproteobacteria; Rhodobacterales; Paracoccaceae. The record is from RNAcentral.
AGUUUGAUCCUGGCUCAGAACGAACGCUGGCGGCAGGCCUAACACAUGCAAGUCGAGCGAAGCCUUCGGGUUUAGCGGCGGACGGGUGAGUAACGCGUGGGAAUAUGCCCUUCUCUACGGAAUAGCCCUGGGAAACUGGGAGUAAUACCGUAUACGCCCUACGGGGGAAAGAUUUAUCGGAGAAGGAUUAGCCCGCGUUGGAUUAGGUAGUUGGUGGGGUAAUGGCCUACCAAGCCUACGAUCCAUAGCUGGUUUGAGAGGAUGAUCAGCCACACUGGGACUGAGACACGGCCCAGACUCCUACGGGAGGCAGCAGUGGGGAAUCUUAGACAAUGGGGGCAACCCUGAUCUAGCCAUGCCGCGUGAGUGAUGAAGGCCUUAGGGUUGUAAAGCUCUUUCAGC